Molecule: ribosomal RNA, 388 nt
Filed under: uncultured bacterium
Lineage: Bacteria
Description: partial 16S ribosomal RNA
Rfam family: Bacterial small subunit ribosomal RNA
Source: RNAcentral
CCUACGGGUGGCAGCAGUGAGGAAUAUUGGUCAAUGGGCGCGAGCCUGAACCAGCCAAGUAGCGUGAAGGAUGACUGCCCUACGGGUUGUAAACUUCUUUUAUAAAGGAAUAAAGUGAGGCACGUGUGCCUUUUUGUAUGUACUUUAUGAAUAAGGAUCGGCUAACUCCGUGCCAGCAGCCGCGGUAAUACGGAGGAUGCGAGCUUUAUCCGGAUUUAUUGGGUUUAAAGGGUGCGUAGGCGGUUUUUUAAUUCAGUGGUAAAACGUCGGGGCUUCACCUUGAUUUGCCAUUAAUACUGUAGGCCUCGAGUUAAGACGAGGUAGGCGGAAUAAGUAAAGUAGCGGUAAAAUGCAUAGAUAUAACUUAGAACCACGAUAGCGAAGGCAG